Molecule: small nuclear RNA, 104 nt
Filed under: Choloepus hoffmanni (Hoffmann's two-fingered sloth)
Lineage: Eukaryota; Metazoa; Chordata; Mammalia; Pilosa; Megalonychidae
Source: RNAcentral
GUGCUUGCUUCAGCAGCACAUACACUAAAAUUGGAAUGGUACAGACAUUAGCAUGGCCUGUGCAAAAGGAUGACAUGCAAAUCUGUGAAGCAUUUCAUAUUUAA